UGCAAGUCGAGCGGACCAAAGAAGAGCUUGCUCUUCGGCGGUUAGCGGCGGACGGGUGAGUAACACGUAGGCAACCUGCCUGUACGACUGGGAUAACUCCGGGAAACCGGAGCUAAUACCGGAUACGUUUUUCAGACCGCAUGGUCUGAAAGAGAAAGACCUUUGGUCACGUACAGAUGGGCCUGCGGCGCAUUAGCUAGUUGGUGGGGUAACGGCCUACCAAGGCGACGAUGCGUAGCCGACCUGAGAGGGUGAUCGGCCACACUGGGACUGAGACACGGCCCAGACUCCUACGGGAGGCAGCAGUAGGGAAUCUUCCGCAAUGGACGAAAGUCUGACGGAGCAACGCCGCGUGAACGAUGAAGGUUUUCGGAUCGUAAAGUUCUGUUGUUAGGGAAGAACCGCCGGGAUGACCUCCCGGUCUGACGGUACCUAACGAGAAAGCCCCGGCUAACUACGUGCCAGCAGCCGCGGUAAUACGUAGGGGGCAAGCGUUGUCCGGAAUUAUUGGGCGUAAAGCGCGCGCAGGCGGCUUCUUAAGUCAGGUGUGAAAGCCCACGGCUCAACCGUGGAGGGCCACUUGAAACUGGGAGGCUUGAGUGCAGGAGAGGAGAGCGGAAUUCCACGUGUAGCGGUGAAAUGCGUAGAGAUGUGGAGGAACACCCGUGGCGAAGGCGGCUCUCUGGCCUGUAACUGACGCUGAGGCGCGAAAGCGUGGGGAGCGAACAGGAUUAGAUACCCUGGGUAGUCCACGCCGUAAACGUUGAGUGCUAGGUGUUGGGGACUCCAAUCCUCAGUGCCGCAGCUAACGCAAUAGCACUCCGCCUGGGGAGUACGGCCGCAGGCUGAACUCAAGGAUUGACGGGACUCGCCACAGCGGUGGAGCAUGUUGGUUUAAUUCGA
This 903-nucleotide ribosomal RNA is filed under the name uncultured bacterium. Its description in RNAcentral is "bacterial SSU rRNA". It matches the Rfam family "Bacterial small subunit ribosomal RNA", at positions 56 to 954 of the family's 1533-position model. The record is from RNAcentral.